Molecule: ribosomal RNA, 253 nt
Filed under: uncultured bacterium
Lineage: Bacteria
Description: partial 16S ribosomal RNA
Rfam family: Bacterial small subunit ribosomal RNA
Source: RNAcentral
UACGGAGGGUGCGAGCGUUGUCCGGAAUCAUUGGGCGUAAAGAGCUCGUAGGCGGUUUGUCGCGUCUGCCGUGAAAGUCCGGGGCUCAACUCCGGAUCUGCGGUGGGUACGGGCAGACUAGAGUGGUGUAGGGGAGACUGGAAUUCCUGGUGUAGCGGUGAAAUGCGCAGAUAUCAGGAGGAACACCGAUGGCGAAGGCAGGUCUCUGGGCAUUAACUGACGCUGAGGAGCGAAAGCAUGGGGAGCGAACAGG